CUUUGGCUUCUAGCCAGAAAAAAUAUACUUACUAGAGAUAAUCUGUUAAAAAGAGGCUGGAAGGGGGAUAAAAAUUGUGUGUUCUGUGGUAAGGAUGAGACGAUAGAUCAUCUAUUUUUCUCUUGCUCAGUAGCAAAAACCAUCUGGGCUCUAGUAAGAUGUGCAUUUGAUCUGAAAUGCACUCCUAGAGACCUCAAUGAUUGUUUGGGAAUAUGGCUAAAAAUUUCCAGAAAGAUAGCAAGAAACUUAUGUUGGUUGGCGUCUCAGCGCUGUUGUGGGCGAUCUAGAGAUGCAGAAAUAGCAUUGUGUUUGAUAGAAAAAUGA
Molecule: ribosomal RNA, 324 nt
Filed under: Triticum aestivum (bread wheat)
Lineage: Eukaryota; Viridiplantae; Streptophyta; Magnoliopsida; Poales; Poaceae
Description: partial small subunit ribosomal RNA
Source: RNAcentral